CCUAAACACGGAAAACAAUAUAUUUAUUGUCAAAAUUUUACGUAUUUUUUUAAUAAGUGUGAAAAAUCUAGAAUAUACACUAUUUUGAACAGAGGGAGUAGAUCAAGGUGGCGUCUGCUGUAGCAGCGGAAGCCCAAGCAAUUAAAUCUGCACUACUAGCUGCAGCAAAUGCAGGCUACCGUGAUCUAGAAGUCUUCUCGGAUUGCAAAAGCCUUGUCACCUUGAUCAACUCAAAUGCUUCAUCGGUGGCUCUGAAAAGUCUCCUCUACGACAUCUCGGUGUUGAGUCAAAAAUUUUCCUCUCUCUCCUUUACCUUUAUUCCUCCUGUGAACAAUGUAGUUGCUGAUGGCCUAAAUCAGCCCUGUCUUCUCUUUGUAACUCCUCCGUCAUGGAGUAACUCUGUUUCCGUUUUUUCAUAUUAUAAUUAAGGUUUGCCCAAAAAAAAGAUGGAUGGUUGUAAACUUACAAUAAAUAACACAUAUGAGCCGAUUCAUAUAGUUCUUGGGGCUAUUACAUGAACUAUAAAUUUUAGGGUAACUGCAUUCUGAAGCUUAUUUUAAGCAUUUUUGAAUUUCAAAAAGUAGGAUAUUUGGAACCAACUUGAAUACAGUUCUCAUUCAUAUGAAGUUAUCUGAUUUGAAUAUUCAAAACUUUAACAGAUUAGAUACAAGCUUGGAGGAGAUAUCGAAUCUCCUAUACAUUUGUACUUAUACGCAAUUUGUGAGAUACGGACAAAAGAGAGAGCACGAUGAUUUCGGAAUCGCAUAGACCUUGUGCAUCGGCCUCUUUUUGUGAAGAGUAGUCUUUAUCAAUCAAUCAUAAAAUCGGAUAAUAGAUCUCGUUGUCAUUAUUGGUUCAUUAUUGGUGCAUGGAAUUCUUUCAUGAUAAAUUUAUAUAUUGAUAAUCAAGAGAUGAUAAAAAAAUGUCCACGCAAACGAAUAAUGCAAGAUUUUUUUCAAGAUAAGGAGAGGAGAUACAGGUUCGAUUGAAUAUUGAUGGCUGUAAUUAAUAAUUAAUGAGCCACUAAUCCCCCCAAAUCUAUAGAUUUUUUCAAGAUAAGGUGAUACAGCAUGUGACAAUGGGGGAGAUCAUACAAAGGAUAUUUUUGGAGGCUUUUUGGCUGACAAAGCUGGUAGAGACCUAGUAAGACUCAAUCAGCCAUUUUAUCUAUUUGCUUCAGUUGAAACUUGAAACCGUUUAAAUUUUCUUAAAACAAUUUGUGUCUUCUGCAAAAUAUCCUCUUUGUCUUAAAGUGUUAUUCAAGGAUCACUUCGAGGAGACGUGCAAAGCUAUUAUGCCUAGACUUUGAGGUACAACAUUCUAUUGUGUACGAGACUUGUUAGUUUUGCUUCUUGAUUAUGUCAUUAAUUCUUUCGAGAUUUUAUAAGAGAAGCGAUGGUUUUUAAAA
Brassica napus (rape) is the source of this 1408-nucleotide long non-coding RNA. RefSeq lists it as uncharacterized. NCBI's taxonomy places the organism in Eukaryota, Viridiplantae, Streptophyta, Magnoliopsida, Brassicales, Brassicaceae. The record is from RefSeq and is a predicted model, not a curated record. The transcript has 2 exons.